UCUCGUCCCCUUAUGAUUUGGGCUACACACGUGCUACAAUGGACAAUACAAAGGGUAGCGAAACCGCGAGUCAAGCAAAUCCCAUAAAGUUGUUCUCAGUUCGGAUUGUAGUCUGCAACUCGACUAUAUGAAGCUGGAAUCGCUAGUAAUCGUAGAUCAGCAUGCUACGGUGAAUACGUUCCCGGGUCUUGUACACACCGCCCGUCACACCACGAGAGUUCGUAACACCCGAAGCCGGUGGAGUAACCAUUUGGAGCUAGCCGUCGAAGGUGGGACAAAUGAUUGGGGUGAAGUCGUAACAAGGUAGCCGUAUCGGAA
This 318-nucleotide ribosomal RNA is filed under the name uncultured bacterium. RNAcentral describes it as "bacterial SSU rRNA". It matches the Rfam family "Bacterial small subunit ribosomal RNA", at positions 1191 to 1510 of the family's 1533-position model. The record is from RNAcentral.